This is a long non-coding RNA of Coccinella septempunctata (seven-spotted ladybird), 491 nucleotides long. RefSeq lists it as uncharacterized. NCBI's taxonomy places the organism in Eukaryota, Metazoa, Arthropoda, Insecta, Coleoptera, Coccinellidae. The transcript is spliced from 2 exons. The record is from RefSeq and is a predicted model, not a curated record.
CCGAAACAUUUAUUUUUUGAGUUUCAUUUCAGUAACACACAGCAUAAUAUUGAAUCAGAACAGAAUAUCUAAGAGAAACUCAUUAAUCUGUAAUCAGUGGAUUUUGAAGUGGACUCGACAUAUUUUGUAAAUUUGUGAAUAUUUUGGCUUUAGCUUGUUGAACUACAUUUGAAGUAUAGUGUCUAGUUCUAGUUCCAGUGUGUGGUGCAUAUAUUUGAUAGAAACGAGAAACGGCCAUACACUCCAGUAAAGGGGACAGGAAGGAGAUAGAAGAGGCUAUUUCUAAAUGGGUUGGAGGAGCCAACGAUAGAAAAUAUAAUAUAUCAUAAGUGUUUCCUGUUCAGAGUGUAUAUAUACCUAUAUAUCUGCUUCUUUGAUAUUCAGUUUUUUAUAGUUUAGUUUUUUUUUUUGCUUAGGGGCAGUAGUCCAAUGUUCAAAUUAUACUUGUUAUUUAUUUUAUUUUAAUUUUUCACAUAAAGAUGUGGAACAUU